UAAUCUCACCUCUUUGGCUUUUUGUCGAUCAGUGUGGACUUGGAUGCUGUCGUGUAACAAACGGCUCGUCUGAAAUGCCUGAGUGUACCCUGCUUUGCGGCGUAUUCGGUGUGAUAAACAUCUUCACCGGAGUUGACUUUCGGGUCGCGCUUGUACUGAUUGGCUCUAUGCUUCUAACUGUCCUGACAAGACAAUCUUUGACA
Molecule: unclassified non-coding RNA, 203 nt
Filed under: uncultured Sebacinales
Lineage: Eukaryota; Fungi; Basidiomycota; Agaricomycetes; Sebacinales
Also listed under: 1 other name
Description: sequence contains ITS2
Source: RNAcentral